This 117-nucleotide small nucleolar RNA is filed under the name Manihot esculenta (cassava). Its description in RNAcentral is "Small nucleolar RNA snoR100". It matches the Rfam family "Small nucleolar RNA snoR100". The record is from Rfam by way of RNAcentral. Lineage: Eukaryota; Viridiplantae; Streptophyta; Magnoliopsida; Malpighiales; Euphorbiaceae.
CUAUGAAGGUAGCAUGGUAAGGUGCACAGAAAUUGAACUUUAUGGGUCUACAUGUCUGCUCCCUCUGAGGCCUCUGUUGGAGCCUUUGAUUUGGGGGCCUGGUUCUGAUCUACAUUC